AGUGAACGCUGGCGGUAGGCCUAACACAUGCAAGUCGAACGGCAGCACAGUAAGAGCUUGCUCUUACGGGUGGCGAGUGGCGGACGGGUGAGGAAUACAUCGGAAUCUACUUUUUCGUGGGGGAUAACGUAGGGAAACUUACGCUAAUACCGCAUACGGCCUACGGGUGAAAGCAGGGGAUCUUCGGACCUUGCGCGAUUGAAUGAGCCGAUAUCGGAUUAGCUAGUUGGCGGGGUAAAGGCCCACCAAGGCGACGAUCCGUAGCUGGUCUGAGAGGAUGAUCAGCCACACUGGAACUGAGACACGGUCCAGACUCCUACGGGAGGCAGCAGUGGGGAAUAUUGGACAAUGGGCGCAAGCCUGAUCCAGCCAUACCGCGUGGGUGAAGAAGGCCUUCGGGUUGUAAAGCCCUUUUGUUGGGAAAGAAAAGCAGCAGGUUAAUACCCCGCUGUUCUGACGGUACCCAAAGAAUAAGCACCGGCUAACUUCGUG
RNAcentral lists this ribosomal RNA (492 nucleotides) under uncultured bacterium. RNAcentral describes it as "partial 16S ribosomal RNA". It matches the Rfam family "Bacterial small subunit ribosomal RNA", at positions 29 to 507 of the family's 1533-position model. The record is from RNAcentral.